This is a long non-coding RNA of Peromyscus eremicus (cactus mouse), 1038 nucleotides long. RefSeq lists it as uncharacterized. The transcript is spliced from 2 exons. The record is from RefSeq and is a predicted model, not a curated record. NCBI's taxonomy places the organism in Eukaryota, Metazoa, Chordata, Mammalia, Rodentia, Cricetidae.
CCUUUUCCAGGCUGUGCUCUGUGAAAGGGGGGACCAGGAAAGAACCUUGCCUGGAGCAGCACUUUGUGCAAAAGUUUGAGUUAAGUGUGUGGUGUCUGGUGUAUUUUCACUUGUGUGCCCUCUCUUAGAACCCCAAGGCAUUCUUUAGUGUUAAGGAUCCACCCAGUCCUUAACAUUCUACUUUUCCAAUAUCCAUAAAUACACCUUUAAAAUGCCAAUUUCUCAAUGCAUUUGUUCUUCACAACUAUUUGGAAAAUAUCGGCCUGAGUGAAUUUGUCGUUUAGAGGAAUUUAGGUCCUCAAACCUCUGAAAUCUAUCAUUUUUGACUCAGGGAAUUCCAGACCAUGUCACAAAAUGAAGAAGAAAAGGAAAAAAGGCACAGUGGUCCCUGAUCUGUAGUUUCACUUAGAAGUCAGAAGUCAACUUUGAGUUGUUCUGAGGAGUGUGAAGAACAUGAAUCAUCAUCCCCUUGCCUGUCACAGAAACACUAUACACACUCUCAACCAUCAGGCACUCAGUGGCUUGUCUCUGUUAUUUAACCGACUAUUGUGACUACCAUGUUAGUAUUCAGAAGUCCGUGUUUUACUCCAUAAUUGCCAUCACACGCAAAGCAGCAACGCUAGAAAUUUGGCUACGCCAAAGAGAAGCCAUCGUCAUGGAAAGAAGCCCAUGGCCAAGCCAGACCUAUAUGGGAGGACCCAGAGCUGUGGCAGUGGGAACAAGGAGAGAGCCCGAUCAGAAGUCAGGCAGGUGCUGUGUGCCAAGCCCUGGACCAGGCCAAGCAGAAGAAACAACUAUCCACGGCAGCUGUGUGCUGCCUUCCAAGCCUUAUACUCAAUGGACGAAGAUGAACAGAGCCAAACUGAGACCAGCUACCAGAACACAGAGAUGGCUAUAAAGAUGCAGCAGAGGGAUGACCGGCUUUACUGCAGGACUGGAUAAGCUUUUUUGUAGUCUCUUGUGUUUAUUUUGAAGCAGACAUAGGAGAUUCUGAAAGUUUAUUAAAAGGUGUAUUUGUGAGUAAAAAGCUCUGAGAAA